Long non-coding RNA from Mesocricetus auratus (golden hamster), 1002 nucleotides. RefSeq lists it as uncharacterized. The record is from RefSeq and is a predicted model, not a curated record. NCBI's taxonomy places the organism in Eukaryota, Metazoa, Chordata, Mammalia, Rodentia, Cricetidae. The transcript is spliced from 4 exons.
GCAAGUGCAAACACCCAGUGUCAGUAGAGCCCUGAGGAACAGCAAGGGCUCUUAAGCAUCAGCACACCCCCCCAGCUUCUCUGACCUUUGGACUCCUAGGUGUUACGAGAAGAAUCAAAGAGACGGUGAGAAACAAAAUCACUCAAGCACGAAGUCAAGACAGGGCCUCAUUGUGUAGCCUUGGCUUGCACGAAGCCUGUACUGAAGACCAGGCUGUCUUCAUCUUCUAUCCUCUUUAUCUUCUCAUCUCCUGGUCUCUCAGUCAAGACCCUGGCACGGAAGAAGGACCUGCAGGGACAGAUUUAAAAAAAAAUGAUGUAGCCCGUGAGACAGACGAAAAUCAAAGCAAGUACUAAGGAAGUGGACAUGAAACAUGGACACAGCAGAAUCUCACUCAUCUGAAGCUAUACCUAUGGUGCAGUCAAAUUGACUCAUACAAACAACUAUCACCACUGAGAUAGAGGAGAUACAAGACUGCUUACGGAGAGAAAGUGCAAUUAUGCAGGAAUAAAGAUUGUGCCUCUUCCUGUAGCUUUCUGGCAGUUGAAACAGUGAUGUCAGAGGAAGUGGGAUUUCCUCCUUAACCUCAUGUUUGAAGAAGGAAAAGACUAAAACCUGUUAUCGGUGAGAGGAGGAUCUAGAGCCCAGGGGAGGAGAUUGUGCACUAUGAGACUGUCUGUCAGACUGAGGUGCUGCAGGCUGUGGAUCCCAGACAAGGCUAAGGGGUGGAAGCACAGGUUGGCAAUACCUAAGUAUGCAUACUUUUCUUCCACUUAAAAAACUGCCAGUCAGUCCUCUGAAGACAAUGUUGAAGAGCCACUGAAUACCUUAUUUGUUGAGCUUGCAUUUCUGUUUUGUGUUUAUGAAAAUAUAUACUUGAUACAUUUUAUGAACACAAGCUUUAUAUGUUAAUAUUUUGUCCUUAUCGUUAUCUAAAAGGGCCAGGUGGUAGUGCAUACCUUUAAACCUAGCACUUGGGAGGCAGAGACAGGAGGAUCUCUG